CUCCCGUCCGAGGGCUGGGAAGAAGGGAUGGAGGCGAAGGGAACUCUCCCACCCCUCCGGGGCCCCGCGGGCGCGCUGCUUCCCAGAAAAUACGGUAAAAAGCCUUCAGCCUAAAAAUAACUGCAGCCCGUGGCUGCCCAAGGCUGAGGAACCAGCCCCUCGGGGCUCACUUAGAGAUGUCAACGUGUGGCCAUUGGCCGGUCUCUCUGAUGGGCAGAAGUCAUCUGGCGAGGUGCUGAUCCUCCUAUAGUGUUUGCAAGAUCUUUAAGAAGAAUUGCAUGGCCGAUGUCGUUGCGUUUGAGUUGUGCUAGAAUACCCUGACCAUCAGAGGACUUGGAUUUUAUGACAGAAGAGAUCAGCACUGCAAAGACAUGGCGAUGUUGUUCACAUUGCCUGGACCUGAGCCCAGGGUCCGGGACCAGACCUGUCUCAUACCCACACCUUAGAAGACAGCGCCGUGUUCGUGUUUUCUUUUUGCAGGCUGAAAGCUUUCCUGGACCUGCUGAACACUUCUGCUGUAAUCUGUCGUGGCUGUCAGGGUGCCAAGAGACAUGCCAGACCCUGGGCCACAAUAGUGGAACAGACAUGCCCAGAGCUGAAAGCUGGCACAAGGUAGUGUAUAAAGUGAGAUAUGUGAAGCCACGGGCAAAUAGUUUGGUAAUCACGUGGGUCAGUUAGGCUUGGCACAGGGCAGAGCCUGUCUGCUCAUCAAGGAAGGCAGAGACAAAACUUCGUCAUAGAAUCAUAGAAUAUUUGAAUUAUUGAAUCAUUGAAUGGCUUGGGUUAGAAGGGACCUUACAGCCCACCCAGCUCCAACCCCAGUGCCAUGGGCACAGUUGCCACUCACUGCAUCAGGUUGCCCAGUGCCCCACACAACCUGGUCUUGAGAAGAGUUGGGGGACUUCUUAAUGAGAGCUACGAGGAUUAAACAAAAACAAUUACUCCAGAAGGACUGAGGUAAAGGACACAGUGUUGUCUCAGUGGGGUCGCAAACACAUUUCAAAACAGAUUUUUGCAGAAAGAGAUGUUUCCCAUUCCCCAGAUAUCUUGUUCCCAACAACGAUUCUCGUUUCACAGUAAGGUUCAGGGUUGGAGGAAGGAGCAUGAGCCUUGCUCAGCAUUGGUGCAGGGGAUGCUCCACGUGUCUCCUCACCUAGAAAGCUAAACCUCAAAGAAUAGAAGAGCACAAUUCACUCCUCGCAGAUGGGGAAAUGGUGCAGUGAGUCAGCAAGGCAGACCACAGAUGCUGUCCAAAAGCAUUGCAGCAAUUAGUUGGAGCAAGGUGGAGAUAUAUUCCUCCAAAAUGAAAGUCUCUGUAGGCUGUUACCAGUGCUCACAGCCAUCUAGUCCCUUGCUGAACAUUUCUGACCAAAAUCCUUCCAAGCUGAUCUAUUUUCAGCCCAACCCACUCGAUACCUUGAUUGCUACGCAGCUCUUUUAGCUGCUCUUAGGUAAACAUGUUGUCAUUCCCUGGCAUUUUGCCUCGCUAAGACCAAAAAUAUGAGUGGCACAGAAAAUAAGAAAAGCUGUUCUCCUCCGCCAGGAAAAAUGAUGCUAUUUCUGAAAUAAACUGUUUUUAAUACACCUCACCAGCCAUGUGCAUAUACACACAUGUAUAAAUAUACUUGACCCGGAGGUCCAGUUCCAGUGUUGGCAUCUUGUAUGCCUAUAUGGAGACAGAACAGAGAGGGAAUUAUGUAUGUACAAACCAGGACACACCUUCGGUCCAGUCUACAUCUGAAUGCAGAACGUUGGUUAAGACAAAAUACUGAGGUCUGAUCCCCAUUAAAACAGGUUCACAGGGACUGGUCCAAACUGAGACCAGAGAGUUAUGGGCUGUCAUGAGGAGCAGCUUCUACCAUAGCGACCCAUGUGCCCCAUACCUAAAACCAGCAUCCCCAGGGUUGAACCAGAGCAGGCUGGAGCAGAUCAGUGUCAGAGCUCUAUCCACAGCAGGCCUUGUUUUUGAGGAAUGACAGUGAUGUUGGCCAGACCUCCAAGCCUCUUUUUUUUUCAGAUUUCUCUUUAUCGAGUAAACACAUAGAAGUCAACAACAGAUGGAGCAUCACAUGGAGUUACGCAGGUCAGCAAAGGCUUCGGAGACCCCGUGAGUUUGAGGAGGCAAUAAAUUGGCAGGAGAUGUGGAUGGGAAAUUAUUCUGAGGGACGGAGGAAAAAAAUAGUGGGUUGAUCUGUCGCCCCUGUGACAUGCUCAGGUUUUGUGGAGGAAGACAAAGGUGGGCAGAUAACAAAAGCUCCUGGGUAGGAAGGCUUUUGGGUUCCUCUUUGGCUGCAAAUUGUGAAAUUCAAGCAGAAAGGUAACAAACUGGUAACAAAACGGGCAGGAGUAAAGCAAAGCGAGUGCAAAACAAAAGCAGAUUUUGUGUGACAGGAGCAGAUUGAACUGAUGUGACAAAGGAGGAGGAGAGCUUUUUCAGUAGCUUGUAUAGUGCUGCGGGGAGCUGGGAGUGACAAAUGAGGAAUUUGCACAAGUGGAGAGCAACAGCGUAGGGCUGUGUGUUGAGGAAGAAAGAAAGGAGAAAAGGGAGCAAAGGACACCUAUUAAUAAAAAGAAACCUACAUUCCAUUUAAGAUUUAUUGCUAGCUCAGAGCCAGAGAAUCUUUCAUGCCUUCGCAUCUCUGAGCUAACAUUACCCAAGAGUGGGUAGUGGUGGGGAUCCACUAUGAGCCAUUGAAUUCAAGUGGAAAAGAGCUCCGGUCUUUAAUAUGCAGAAAUUAAAACACUUUGGCUGACAGAGCUUUCAAUCUGAGAAACCUGCACUGUAGUAGCAGAAUAGCAUUAGUGCUCCUGAAUACACAGCUGGUAAUUUCCGAGCACGAAAUAUCAUGCAUUGAAAAUGAAAUUGCUCCAUUUAGGAGAUCGGUGUGGUGGGGAUGGAUGAAUUCAGUGCUGGAUGAAAAAUUAAUGGUUGCCUUCAGACAGGUGUUGACUAGCUGGUGGUGUUCCAAGAAAGGACGGUCCCAUCUGGUCAUGGGGAGAGCUGUGAUGGUGCGAAAAGAAGAGAGUGAUCACCAUGGACAAAGAGCAUCCCACGAACUCAUGUCAGAGAAGAGUUUUUGUCUUGGAGGUGGAGGGCUCAGUCGGUGGGAGAAGUAGGGCUACUUCUACGUGGGGUGUGGAUGGAGAAGUUUGAGAAACGGAAGGAGAACCCAUGGAGACAAUGUGAGACAUCCCCAGAAUGAAUCCAGAUGUGCUGCUCUGUCUGUAACCCAGUGCUGUAAGGAGGACUGAGAUCUGCUGCACUGCAAGCCUGGAUAAAGAUACCCACCAUGGAUCUUCUCCCUGGACUCCUGACCCCAACUGCUCACCUUCCUCCUUCUGCCCUGGGCUAACUUCUCCUCGACUUCUGCUUUGGUUGAAAAGAGGCUGGGGUAAAAAAAGGGGGAAGGGGAGCCUGAAGGUGCAGUGAAAUUUGGUUUUUCAGCUUUAUUGCAUAAGGAAGCCCUGACAGCUUUUAACACCAUUGUCACUUGCAGGAAGAAAAGUUGUUGGCAGUUUGUGGGGGUCUCCUUUGGCUUUAGAUGGAGCAGAAGAAUGCACUAUCACUUCUGCUAUAGGCUGUGCUUAGCAGUGGAGCAAGGCAUUGCCCUAGCACCAGCAGCGCUCUGAAUUCAUCUCCACACUCCAUGUUUUCCUUCACUAAGUCUAAUGAGGGCUGCAGGCUGCUAGGGAGGCACGCAGCAAUAAAGACUGAAAACAGUACGCAGGACUUCCAGCUGCAAACUGUGUGUGACCCAGGACCUGACUUGACUUGGCUUGUGUGGGGAUCCUCUUCCCAAUAUCUGAUUCACCCUCAUACUGUAUGUAGCAUCAUGGUUUUUGUCAGCAUUCCAUAUCAUAGCAUCAUGUCAUACGUUCUCAGUACUGGGGCUGCUGGGGUUGUAAUUCCUGGUUUCCUUAUGGUGUGAUGUUAUGAUAUGGAAUAUCGAUGGACAGUACCCUGGACGUGCUCCAUAGGCAUAGGGGGACCCAGGGUGAAAGCCCACCCAAGGACCGCAGACAAGGGCACCCAUAAUAACUAGAGGGUAGCUGGAGAAGCAGCACCAUUGGGUGUAUCAGCUGUGUGUAACCUCCAGCAGCAUCAUACAAGAAAUGUUUGGCCUGACCCAAAGCCCACUGGAGAAAAUAAGGAGAAGCAUCACUUCCAGGAACAGCAUGGAUGUGGUGCAAUCAGGGAGAAAGGCAAGAAAAGCUGUGCAAGCAUUUGCCUAACGUUCUUCUGGGAGAUAAUAAUUGCCAAACAGCACUUGUUCCCUCCCUUUAUCCCACUCUGUCCUUCAGGGACAUCUGUUCCAAAGGGAAGAACCUGAUAAUUAUGGAUUGGGUCCUCCGAUGGAGGCUGGAUAUGGCCCCAAGGCAGCCAGCCUCCCUGUGCACAGUGCUCAUGCUGGGAAUGCAGCCUGUGAGUGGUUCAAUUAAAAGGUUUCUCAGCAAUGACACCAGCAGAGGCACAAGAAGCAGACAACCUAUUCACAGACCAAUUAGUUUUAUGAAUAAAUGUGUGCAGGACAGUGAGCCCAUCGGCUGAGCGAGCCAUGCCGGAGUGCUGAGCAGCACUGGGAAAUAUUCUAUUGGGAAGUUUUAAAUGCCAGUCUCCGUGCAUGGAUGGGGCUGCGUGGCUUUCCAUCAGCUCAAGCUUGCCCCUGCUGAUCCUUCAAUUCACGCUGUCUUCUCCCCAUAUAUGCCAUUCUCAUGGGCUUGGUGGGGGCAAACGCUUCGCAUGCAUGUUUUACCCAGCUCCAUCAUGUCAUCCUUCCCUUCGUGGCCAGAAUGGGCCAUGAACUCCCAUUUCUUCCCAUCAGACUGGGUUGCCUUGCAAAGGGCCCAGCCCCUCUCACCCUAUUUGAGGACCUGGGGGUUCACUGGGGCCAGCACCACUGGGCUCCAGCCUCCUGCAGCCCCAACAUAGGCCAGGUGGGUGUCAGAGCAGCUCCAAUCCCAGUAGGCGUUUAGUGUCAUUUAUACCAAGGCUAAUUACAUCUUAACAUUUUCCCUCUGUAUUUUGGUAUUUAUUUUGGAAAAGCUCCUCCCUGGAGUCACUUUCUUCCCCAGCUCUACAACAACAACAAUAACAGCAGUGCACUGCCUUUUCCCUUGGCUCCUUCCCUCAUUAUUAUAGCUCUGCCAUGCUGUUCCAGUACAGUCAGCAGAGGAAUUCAAUCAGGCUGAUGAGUAAAAGUGCAUAAUUUUAUGGCUGCAUAUCAACUGCUUGUUAUUAAACUAAUCAAUCAGCUUCAGUGCAGCUACCGGUAAAGCACGGGAGAGGGCAAAGUGAAAGAAUUGCUAUGCUGUUCUUUUUCCAAAAGGACAAAAAGACAAUUCCAAUCUGGCCAGUCGAAUUCUUCGGCUUGUACUUCUCUGCUGUAAGAAAUGCUUUGCCUGAGUUAUGGAUCGGUUGACCUGCAGCACAGUAAUGAUGGAGCUGGUGCUGCCCUUGUGCUCACCUCCAGCACUAAGCCCUAACAUGGCAACCUGCUGCAGGGAACCAGCUUUAGUAGGAGGUUGGCAUAGAUCAUCUCCAGAGGUCCCAUCCAACCUCUACAAUACUGUGAUUCUGUGAUUUGCCAUGCCCCAAAGCCCAGGAAAGUCACCAGGUACUCCCACCAUAUCUCAUCUUCUCAGGAAGAGUGGUAAUGCAUUGGAACAGGCUUUGGGGAAGUGGUGGAGUCAUCAUUCCUGAAGGUUUUCAAGGAACAUGGAGAUGUGGCACUGAGGGACAUAGUUAGUGGGCAUGAUGGGGAAGGGUUGGGAUUGGACUUGAUGAUUUUAGAGGCCUUCUCCAGCCUUCAUGAUUCUAUGAUUCUGAAGGUCUGUCCUCCAUGCCCACAAGAGCACAGCAAGUAAGGAAUUGCAUCACACAAAGAGAAACCUGGGCUACACAUCAGGUGUAACUUCCUACAGGAGAAGGGUGAGCAGCCAUUGGGACACACUGCCAGGAGGCACUGGAGGUCCUGGAACAAGCACUAUGUGCUUCUUCUAUAGCAACAUUGGGGUUGGUGUUGGUGAGGUUCUGCUUGUGGCUAGAGAUAGUUAUGAUGGAGUUGGAGGUCCCUCACAGCUCUAGGGGAGAGAGAGACUCAUCCUCUUUGCCAUCCAAGAGGAGGAGAAGGUGUAACAGGGCUUGGAACCUCAAAGCCAGACAGUGGGAUCUUUUGUGUUAAUGGACGUGGG
Gallus gallus (chicken) is the source of this 6192-nucleotide long non-coding RNA. RefSeq lists it as uncharacterized. The record is from RefSeq and is a predicted model, not a curated record. Lineage: Eukaryota; Metazoa; Chordata; Aves; Galliformes; Phasianidae. The transcript is spliced from 3 exons.